GACGAACGCGGCGGGCGUGCCUAAUACAUGCAAGUCGAACGCACGAAGUUGAAGAGCUUGCUCUUUAACCAAUUGAGUGGCGGACGGGUGAGUAACACGUGGGUAACCUGCCCAUUAGAGGGGGAUAACAUUCGGAAACGGAUGCUAAUACCGCAUAGUUUCAGGGAUCGCAUGAUUCUUGAAGGAAAGGUGGCUCCGGCUACCACUAAUGGAUGGACCCGCGGCGUAUUAGCUAGUUGGUGAGGUAAUGGCUCACCAAGGCAAUGAUACGUAGCCGACCUGAGAGGGUGAUCGGCCACACUGGGACUGAGACACGGCCCAGACUCCUACGGGAGGCAGCAGUAGGGAAUCUUCCGCAAUGGACGAAAGUCUGACGGAACAACGCCGCGUGAGUGAAGAAGGUUUUCGGAUCGUAAAACUCUGUUGUUAAAGAAGAACAAGGAUGAGAGUAACUGCUCAUCCCCUGACGGUAUUUAACCAGAAAGCCACGGCUAACUACGUGCCAGCAGCCGCGGUAAUACGUAGGUGGCAAGCGUUGUCCGGAUUUAUUGGGCGUAAAGCGAGCGCAGGCGGUUCUUUAAGUCUGAUGUGAAAGCCCCCGGCUCAACCGGGGAGGGUCAUUGGAAACUGGAGAACUUGAGUGCAGAAGAGGAGAGUGGAAUUCCACGUGUAGCGGUGAAAUGCGUAGAUAUGUGGAGGAAUACCAGUGGCGAAGGCGACUCUCUGGUCUGUAACUGACGCUGAGGCUCGAAAGCGUGGGGAGCAAACAGG
RNAcentral lists this ribosomal RNA (771 nucleotides) under uncultured Vagococcus sp. Its description in RNAcentral is "bacterial SSU rRNA". It matches the Rfam family "Bacterial small subunit ribosomal RNA", at positions 28 to 776 of the family's 1533-position model. Lineage: Bacteria; Bacillati; Bacillota; Bacilli; Lactobacillales; Enterococcaceae. The record is from RNAcentral.